AUUCUGGUUGAUCCUGCCAGUAGUUAUAUGCUUGUCUCAAAGAUUAAGCCAUGCAUGUCUAAGUACACACGAAUUAAAAGUGAAACCGCAAAAGGCUCAUUAUAUCAGUUAUGGUUCCUUAGAUCGUUAACAGUUACUUGGAUAACUGUGGUAAUUCUAGAGCUAAUACAUGCAAGUUAAAACAUGAACCUUAUGGGACAUGUGCUUUAUUAGGCUAAA
RNAcentral lists this non-coding RNA (219 nucleotides) under Drosophila sechellia. RNAcentral's name for it is "Eukaryotic small subunit ribosomal RNA". It matches the Rfam family "Eukaryotic small subunit ribosomal RNA", at positions 1 to 218 of the family's 1831-position model. The record is from Rfam by way of RNAcentral. Lineage: Eukaryota; Metazoa; Arthropoda; Insecta; Diptera; Drosophilidae.